RNAcentral lists this ribosomal RNA (435 nucleotides) under uncultured bacterium. RNAcentral's name for it is "bacterial SSU rRNA". It matches the Rfam family "Bacterial small subunit ribosomal RNA", at positions 8 to 489 of the family's 1533-position model. The record is from RNAcentral.
AGAGUUUGAUCCUGGCUCAGAGCGAACGCUGGCGGCAGGCCUAACACAUGCAAGUCGAACGAACUCUUCGGAGUUAGUGGCGGACGGGUGAGUAACACGUGGGAACGUGCCUUUAGGUUCGGAAUAACUCAGGGAAACUUGUGCUAAUACCGAAUGUGCCCUUCGGGGGAAAGAUUUAUCGCCUUUAGAGCGGCCCGCGUCUGAUUAGCUUGUUGGUGGGGUAAUGGCCCACCAAGGCUACGAUCAGUAGCUGGUCUGAGAGGAUGACCAGCCACAUUGGGACUGAGACACGGCCCAAACUCCUACGGGAGGCAGCAGUGGGGAAUCUUGCGCAAUGGGCGAAAGCCUGACGCAGCCAUGCCGCGUGUAUGAUGAAGGUCUUAGGAUUGUAAAAUACUUUCACCGGUGAAGAUAAUGACUGUAGCCGGAGAAGAG